This 484-nucleotide ribosomal RNA is filed under the name uncultured bacterium. RNAcentral's name for it is "partial 16S ribosomal RNA". It matches the Rfam family "Bacterial small subunit ribosomal RNA", at positions 30 to 507 of the family's 1533-position model. The record is from RNAcentral.
AUUGAACGCUGGCGGCAGGCCUAACACAUGCAAGUCGAGCGGAUGAAGGGAGCUUGCUCCUGGAUUCAGCGGCGGACGGGUGAGUAAUGCCUAGGAAUCUGCCUGGUAGUGGGGGAUAACGUCCGGAAACGGGCGCUAAUACCGCAUACGUCCUGAGGGAGAAAGUGGGGGAUCUUCGGACCUCACGCUAUCAGAUGAGCCUAGGUCGGAUUAGCUAGUUGGUGGGGUAAAGGCCUACCAAGGCGACGAUCCGUAACUGGUCUGAGAGGAUGAUCAGUCACACUGGAACAGAGACACGGUCCAGACUCCUACGGGAGGCAGCAGUGGGGAAUAUUAGACAAUGGGCGAAAGCCUGAUCCAGCCAUGCCGCGUGUGUGAAGAAGGUCUUCGGAUUGUAAAGCACUUUAAGUUGGGAGGAAGGGCAGUAAGUUAAUACCUUGCUGUUUUGACGUUACCAACAGAAUAAGCACCGGCUAACUUCGUG